This is a long non-coding RNA of Dermacentor andersoni, 442 nucleotides long. RefSeq lists it as uncharacterized. Lineage: Eukaryota; Metazoa; Arthropoda; Arachnida; Ixodida; Ixodidae. The record is from RefSeq and is a predicted model, not a curated record.
CUGUCUUCACGAUGCGCUUCGAGCGUGUCGAUUUCGCCGUUCUUUAUGUUGGCGUUAACGACCUUGAAAGCAACAUGGAUCCACAAGAAAUGUGCGACAACAUCAAGGCCUUGAUUGUUCAACGAGACGGCCCCCGUCGUGCUGGUUUUCAAGGUGCUCCCUCGCUGCCUAGAAGAUGCUGAUGCGGAAUAGAAAAUGCAAAAACGUCGCUUGCUCAACCGCAAAUUGACGGCUACGCUGAAGCGCAUGCCGUGUCUGCGGAAUUUGAACCCCGAGCUUUCCAGAGUUCCUUGGAAAAUCCUCCCAUGCACCUGCCAUGUACAUUGCCCUCCUCCUCGAUGUGGCGUGCAAGAUGGCAGCAGCAGCUGUGGGAACAGUUGAAGAGGCGAAGAAAGGUCCACUUUAUAAUAGGUUGUAUGUAAAUAAAACUGAUCGACCUCAA